RNAcentral lists this ribosomal RNA (1467 nucleotides) under uncultured prokaryote. Its description in RNAcentral is "partial 16S ribosomal RNA". It matches the Rfam family "Bacterial small subunit ribosomal RNA". The record is from RNAcentral.
AGAGUUUGAUCCUGGCUCAGAGUGAACGCUGGCGGCGUGCUUAACACAUGCAAGUCGAACGAGAACGGUCCUUCGGGAUGUCAGCUAAGUGGCGGACGGGUGAGUAAUGUAUAGUUAAUCUGCCCUUUAGAGGGGGAUAACAGUUGGAAACGACUGCUAAUACCCCAUACUCCUUCUAUAUUAAUUAUAGUUGGGAAACGUUUUUUCGCCAAAGGAUGAGACUAUAUGGUAUCAGGUAGUUGGUGGGGUAAGAGCCUACCAAGCCUAUGACGCCUAGCUGGUCUGAGAGGAUGAUCAGCCACACUGGAACUGAGACACGGUCCAGACUCCUACGGGAGGCAGCAGUGGGGAAUAUUGCACAAUGGAGGAAACUCUGAUGCAGCAACGCCGCGUGGAGGAUGACACAUUUCGGUGCGUAAACUCCUUUUAUAUGGGAAGAUAAUGACGGUACCAUAUGAAUAAGCACCGGCUAACUCCGUGCCAGCAGCCGCGGUAAUACGGAGGGUGCGAGCGUUAAUCGGAAUUACUGGGCGUAAAGCGCGCGUAGGCGGCCUGAUCAGUCGGAUGUGAAAGCCCUGGGCUUAACCUGGGAAUUGCAUUCGAUACUGUCAGGCUAGAGUAUGGGAGAGGGAAGUGGAAUUUCCGGUGUAGCGGUGAAAUGCGUAGAUAUCGGAAGGAACACCAGUGGCGAAGGCGACUUCCUGGCCCAAUACUGACGCUGAGGUGCGAAAGCGUGGGUAGCGAACAGGAUUAGAUACCCUGGUAGUCCACGCCGUAAACGAUGAGAACUAGAUGUCGGGAGGAUUUACCUUUCGGUGUCGCAGCUAACGCGUUAAGUUCUCCGCCUGGGGAGUACGCCGGCAACGGUAAAACUCAAAGGAAUUGACGGGGACCCGCACAAGCGGUGGAGCAUGUGGUUUAAUUCGAUGCAACGCGAAGAACCUUACCUGCCCUUGACAUACUCGGAACUUUCCAGAGAUGGAUUGGUGCCCUUCGGGAGCUUUUAUACAGGUGCUGCACGGCUGUCGUCAGCUCGUGUCGUGAGCUGUUGGGUUAAGUCCCGCAACGAGCGCAACCCUCGUCACUAGUUACUAACGGUUCGGCCGAGGACUCUAGUAGGACUGCCUUCGCAAGAAGGAGGAAGGUGAGGACGACGUCAAGUCAUCAUGGCCCUUACGGCUAGGGCAACACACGUGCUACAAUGGGCAGGACAAUGAGAAGCAAUACCGCGAGGUGGAGCAAAUCUAUAAACCUGGUCUCAGUUCGGAUUGUAGUCUGCAACUCGACUACAUGAAGCUGGAAUCACUAGUAAUCGUAGAUCAGCUAUGCUACGGUGAAUACGUUCCCGGGUCUUGUACUCACCGCCCGUCACACCAUGGGAGUUGAUUUCACCCGAAGCGGGGAAGCUAAACUGGCUACCCUCCACGGUGGAAUCAGCGACUGGGGUGAAGUCGUAACAAGGUAACC